Molecule: long non-coding RNA, 265 nt
Organism: Zea mays
Lineage: Eukaryota; Viridiplantae; Streptophyta; Magnoliopsida; Poales; Poaceae
Exons: 3
Source: RefSeq, a predicted model, not a curated record
GAAUUAUGCUCGUGUGGGGCAUGAACUGGCCGAGCAACAAGGACGCCCUGCGAGAAGAGAUGAAAUAUAUGUUAGAACACACACGCGUAAGAACAAAGAAGGGGAUAUUGUGCCUCUACCUGGAGCAGAAAUAUUCAUUAAUAAAUUUGAAGAAGCUGUUGCUGAGAACCCAGAACUGAAGGACAGAAGUAUUGAAGAUGGUGAUUUAUAUGCACAUGUUUUUGGAGAGAAAGAACCAAGAGGUCGUAUUCGUGGUUUAGGCUUA